CUGCGUAUAGCUCAGCCUGGUCAGAGUACCGCCUUCGGAGCGCGGGGGUCUCAGGUUCAAAUCCUGAUACGCAGACCA
This 78-nucleotide transfer RNA is filed under the name Brevundimonas phage vB_BpoS-Kikimora. RNAcentral describes it as "tRNA-Pro". It matches the Rfam family "tRNA". From Rfam's summary of the family: Transfer RNA (tRNA) molecules are approximately 80 nucleotides in length. Their secondary structure includes four short double-helical elements and three loops (D, anti-codon, and T loops). Lineage: Duplodnaviria; Heunggongvirae; Uroviricota; Caudoviricetes; Jeanschmidtviridae. The record is from RNAcentral.